CAGGGUCGGGGAACCAGCUAAGGAGAAAGGGCUGUAUCCCAAGCAGACACAGCCAGUUAGAAGAAAGACUAGGCCUAGAAAAUCAGAGUUGUUUUUUUUUCUUUUUCUGGCUUACCAUAAUGGUAAAAGGAAACAUUUUCAAGCAGUGAUAGUUUUCAUAUUACACUGGGAAACAAUGGUAACAGUACUCAUAUCAUGUGAUUUACAAAAAGAUGCGCCCCCCAAAUCAGUUGCUUGUGACAGUGAUUCAGUAUGGCCCUGUACUCAAUGUGAUUCAUGUAAAAGGUAUAUACAGUGAAGUUACAUACCUAACUGCUAUUGUCAAAGACCAAGGAAUGUAACCAAGCACAUUACAAGGCA
This 360-nucleotide long non-coding RNA is filed under the name Phascolarctos cinereus (koala). RNAcentral describes it as "lncRNA (ENSPCIG00000000657.2)". The record is from RNAcentral. Lineage: Eukaryota; Metazoa; Chordata; Mammalia; Diprotodontia; Phascolarctidae.